UGGGGAAUUUUGGACAAUGGGCGAAAGCCUGAUCCAGCCAUUCCGCGUGAGUGAAGAAGGCCUUCGGGUUGUAAAGCUCUUUCGCAAGGGAAGAACACUUAGUCUCUAACAUAGACUGAGGUUGACGGUACCUUGAUAAGAAGCACCGGCUAACUACGUGCCAGCAGCCGCGGUAAUACGUAGGGUGCGAGCGUUAAUCGGAAUUACUGGGCGUAAAGCGUGCGCAGGCUGUUUUGUAAGUCAGAUGUGAAAUCCCCGAGCUCAACUUGGGAACUGCGUUUGAAACUACAAGACUAGAAUAUGUCAGAGGGGGGUAGAAUUCCACGUGUAGCAGUGAAAUGCGUAGAGAUGUGGAGGAAUACCAAUGGCGAAGGCAGCCCCCUGGGAUAAUAUUGACGCUCAUGCACGAAAGCGUGGGGAGCAAACAGGAUUAGAUACCCUGGUAGUCCACGCCCUAAACGAUGUCUACUAGUUGUUGGUGGAGU
This 485-nucleotide ribosomal RNA is filed under the name uncultured Pseudomonadota bacterium. RNAcentral describes it as "bacterial SSU rRNA". It matches the Rfam family "Bacterial small subunit ribosomal RNA", at positions 355 to 832 of the family's 1533-position model. Lineage: Bacteria; Pseudomonadati; Pseudomonadota. The record is from RNAcentral.